This 465-nucleotide ribosomal RNA is filed under the name uncultured bacterium. RNAcentral's name for it is "partial 16S ribosomal RNA". It matches the Rfam family "Bacterial small subunit ribosomal RNA", at positions 28 to 507 of the family's 1533-position model. The record is from RNAcentral.
GAUGAACGCUGGCGGCGUGCUUAACACAUGCAAGUCGAACGGAAAGGCUCCUGCUUGCAGGGGUACUCGAGUGGCGAACGGGUGAGUAACCCGUGGGUGAUCUGCCCUGCACUUCGGGAUAAGCCUGGGAAACUGGGUCUAAUACCGGAUAGGACGAUGGUUUGGAUGCCAUUGUGGAAAGUUUUUCGGUGUGGGAUGAGCUCGCGGGCUAUCAGCUUGUUGGUGGGGUAAUGGCCUAUCAAGGCGUCGACGGGUAGCCGGCCUGAGAGGGUGUACGGCCACCUUGGGACUGAGCUACGGCCCAGACUCCUACGGGAGGCAGCAGUGGGGAAUAUUGCACAAUGGGCGCAAGCCUGAUGCAGCGACGCCGCGUGGGGGAUGACGGCCUUCGGGUUGUAAACUCCUUUCGCUAGGGACGAAGCGCAAGUGACGGUACCUUGAGAAGAAGCACCGGCUAACUACGUG